RNAcentral lists this ribosomal RNA (497 nucleotides) under uncultured bacterium. Its description in RNAcentral is "partial 16S ribosomal RNA". It matches the Rfam family "Bacterial small subunit ribosomal RNA", at positions 28 to 507 of the family's 1533-position model. The record is from RNAcentral.
GAUGAACGCUGGCGGCGUGCCUAACACAUGCGAGUCGAGCGAACAGACGAGGAGCUUGCGCCUCUGACGUUAGCGGCGGACGGGUGAGUAACACGUGUAUAACCUACCUAUAAGACUGGGAUAACUUCGGGAAACCGGAGCUAAUACCGGAGAAUAUAUUGAACCGCAUGGUUCAAUAGAGAAAGACGGUGGUGCUGGCACUAAUAGAUGGAUACGCGCCGCUUUAGCUAGUUGGUGGGGUAACGGCCUUCCAAGGCUACUAUGCGUAGCCGACCGCAGAGGCGGGUCGGCCACCCUGGAGCGUGGCCACGGACCUGACUCCUACGGGAGGCAGCAGUCGGGAACCUUCCGCAAUGGGCGGGAGUCUGGCGGAGCAACGCCGCGUGUGUGAUGGAGGUCUUCCGAUCGUAAAGCUCUGUUACUGGGGGUAAACCAAUUUGUAAUGUGACAAGGCCGUCUUGACGGUACCUAGUCAAGAAGCCCCGGCUAACUACGUG